This 27-nucleotide non-coding RNA is filed under the name Bombyx mori (domestic silkworm). The record is from RNAcentral. Lineage: Eukaryota; Metazoa; Arthropoda; Insecta; Lepidoptera; Bombycidae.
UUGUUGUGUGCAUAUAGGCUUUCUAGA